AUAGGCAAGAAGGUAGUGCCAGUCCCCUCUACCCUGGCUGCCAGGCUUUGUCCAGGGAUCUGAAACCACUUUGCAGUCGACAUACUCGGAUACCAGCGCUCAGCCCACCUGUGAUUAUGGAUAUGGAACUUGGAACUCUGGGACAAACAGAGGCUACGAGGGCUAUGGCUAUGGCUAUGGCUAUGGCCAGGAUAACACCACCAACUAUGGAAUUAACCAGCGCUUAGAUAUGGUGCCGCAUUUGGAGACAGACAUGAUGCAAGGAGGCGUGUACGGCUCAGGUGGAGAAAGGUAUGACUCUUAUGAGUCCUGCGACUCGAGGGCCGUCCUGAGUGAGCGCGACCUGUACCGGUCAGGCUAUGACUACAGCGAGCUUGACCCUGAGAUGGAAAUGGCCUAUGAGGGCCAAUACGAUGCCUACCGCGACCAGUUCCGCAUGCGUGGCAACGACACCUUCGGUCCCAGGGCACAGGGCUGGGCCCGGGAUGCCCGGAGCGGCCGGCCAAUGGCCUCA
This 514-nucleotide small RNA is filed under the name Pan troglodytes (chimpanzee). RNAcentral's name for it is "processed transcript". The record is from RNAcentral. Lineage: Eukaryota; Metazoa; Chordata; Mammalia; Primates; Hominidae.